AGCACUGUGUGGUAUCUGCAGCCAGUUGUCCUGUCAGCUGGUUUGUUCAAAAGUCAGUGCUAGACUAAUUCAACACCUGGCAUCGUUGGUCUCCAUGCUGCCUAUGUUUGGAGUCCUGGUAUAUUUGUUGAAACACAGUG
Small nucleolar RNA from Anabas testudineus (climbing perch), 140 nucleotides. Ensembl annotates it as small nucleolar RNA SNORA8. The record is from Ensembl. NCBI's taxonomy places the organism in Eukaryota, Metazoa, Chordata, Actinopteri, Anabantiformes, Anabantidae.